CAGCCCCUUUGAGUGGUAGGGAUGAUUAUUUGGCCUAAAACGUCUGUAGCCGGCUUGGCAAGUCUUUCGUUAAAUCCGGUGACUUAAUCAUCGGGCUGCGAGAGAUACUACUUUGCUUGAGGACGGGAGAGGUCGACGGUAUUCCGGGGGUAGGGGUAAAAUCCUAUAAUCCUCGGAGGACCACCAGUGGCGAAGGCGGUCGACUAGAACGUGCCUGACGGUGAUGGACGAAAGCUGGGGGAGCAAACCGGAUUAGACACCCGGGUAGUCCCAGCUGUAAACGAUGCGGGCUAGGUGUUGGGGCAGCUACGAGCUGCUCCCAGUGCCGUAGAGAAGUCAUUAAGCCUGCUGCCUGGGGAAGUACGGUCGCAAGACUG
This 377-nucleotide ribosomal RNA is filed under the name uncultured organism. RNAcentral describes it as "partial 16S ribosomal RNA". It matches the Rfam family "Archaeal small subunit ribosomal RNA", at positions 476 to 851 of the family's 1478-position model. The record is from RNAcentral.